GACGAACGCUGGCGGCGUGCCUAAUACAUGCAAGUCGAACGCUUCUUUCCUCCCGAGUGCUUGCACUCAAUUGGAAAGCGGAGUGGCGGACGGGUGAGUAACACGUGGGUAACCUACCCAUCAGAGGGGGAUGACACUUGGAAACAGGUGCUAAUACCGCAUAACAGUUUAUGCCGCAUGGCAUAAGAGUGAAAGGCGCUUUCGGGUGUCGCUGAUGGAUGGACCCGCGGUGCAUUAGCUAGUUGGUGAGGUAACGGCUCACCAAGGCCACGAUGCAUAGCCGACCUGAGAAGGUGAUCGGCCACACUGGGACUGAGACACGGCCCAGACUCCUACGGGAGGCAGCAGUAGGGAAUCUUCGGCAAUGGACGAAAGUCUGACCGAGCAACGCCGCGUGAGUGAAGAAGGUUUUCGGAUCGUAAAACUCUGUUGUUAGAGAAGAACAAGGACGUUAGUAACUGAACGUCCCCUGACGGUAUCUAACCAGAAAGCCACGGCUAACUACGUG
Molecule: ribosomal RNA, 508 nt
Filed under: uncultured bacterium
Lineage: Bacteria
Description: partial 16S ribosomal RNA
Rfam family: Bacterial small subunit ribosomal RNA
Source: RNAcentral